RNAcentral lists this ribosomal RNA (29 nucleotides) under Polylepis pauta. Its description in RNAcentral is "partial 26S ribosomal RNA". Lineage: Eukaryota; Viridiplantae; Streptophyta; Magnoliopsida; Rosales; Rosaceae. The record is from RNAcentral.
CGCGACCCCAGGUCUGGCGGGGUUACCCG